UCUCAUGGCUAAAAUUAAACUAUAGCCACAUUGACUGAGGUCAAUCAUGAUAUUGAAGCUCAUCCAACACAAAUAUCCACCAACACUGUACAAUGAUGAUCUGACAAAAAGUCUCUCAUCUUGUGUCACGGAAAAUUUUGUAAAAUGUUCAAGUAGUUGCAAGGCCAACAGGUUAAUGGGAGUGAAGCUUAAAAAAAAAAACAACAGCAACAAUGACAACUACAGUAAGGAAAAAAGUUGAAGGCUACACAGAAGUCCAUUGAUAUCACUGUUCUAUUUCCACUGCUGUCAUCAAACUUUUCAAGGCUAUCCUUAACACCAUCAUAUUCAACAACCACAUCAGGUUCUUGAUGUGCAGUCUUGCUUGAACCGUACAUGUCAGAUGACCACGAUUUCGGGCUAGAUUUCUUGUUGUUUUCGCUGUCUGGAACUGUAGGGUGUCUCAUAUUUGGACAGUCGAGAAGCAAUUGCAGAAUCUACAGAAGUCUGUCUGUCUGGAAAACCAGCUCCAAUCUUUGAUUUCGGAGCCGCUUCGGGACGAUUUGUUCGAGGUUUAUCACUUAGUCGCGGUGAAGAUCUUGAUUGAGAGAGUUCCCUACUUGAAAC
Long non-coding RNA from Stylophora pistillata, 606 nucleotides. RefSeq lists it as uncharacterized. The record is from RefSeq and is a predicted model, not a curated record. Lineage: Eukaryota; Metazoa; Cnidaria; Anthozoa; Scleractinia; Pocilloporidae.